CUACCAGGCGUCGAGCGGCGGACGGGUGAGUAAUACUUAGGAAUCUACCUAGUAGUGGGGGAUAGCACGGGGAAACUCGUAUUAAUACCGCAUACGACCUACGGGAGAAAGGGGGCAGUUUACUGCUCUCGCUAUUAGAUGAGCCUAAGUCGGAUUAGCUAGAUGGUGGGGUAAAGGCCUACCAUGGCGACGAUCUGUAGCUGGUCUGAGAGGAUGAUCAGCCACACCGGGACUGAGACACGGCCCGGACUCCUACGGGAGGCAGCAGUGGGGAAUAUUGGACAAUGGGGGAAACCCUGAUCCAGCCAUGCCGCGUGUGUGAAGAAGGCCUUUUGGUUGUAAAGCACUUUAAGCAGUGAAGAAGACUCUUCGGUUAAUACCCGGAGACGAUGACAUUAGCUGCAGAAUAAGCACCGGCUAACUCUGUGCCAGCAGCCGCGGUAAUACAGAGGGUGCAAGCGUUAAUCGGAAUUACUGGGCGUAAAGCGAGCGUAGGUGGCUUGAUAAGUCAGAUGUGAAAUCCCCGGGCUUAACCUGGGAACUGCAUCUGAAACUGUUAGGCUAGAGUAGGUGAGAGGGAAGUAGAAUUUCAGGUGUAG
RNAcentral lists this ribosomal RNA (599 nucleotides) under Psychrobacter nivimaris. RNAcentral's name for it is "bacterial SSU rRNA". It matches the Rfam family "Bacterial small subunit ribosomal RNA", at positions 80 to 678 of the family's 1533-position model. The record is from RNAcentral. Lineage: Bacteria; Pseudomonadati; Pseudomonadota; Gammaproteobacteria; Moraxellales; Moraxellaceae.